This 132-nucleotide transfer RNA is filed under the name Diplodia corticola. RNAcentral describes it as "Botryosphaeria corticola tRNA". It matches the Rfam family "tRNA". From Rfam's summary of the family: Transfer RNA (tRNA) molecules are approximately 80 nucleotides in length. Their secondary structure includes four short double-helical elements and three loops (D, anti-codon, and T loops). The record is from Rfam by way of RNAcentral. Lineage: Eukaryota; Fungi; Ascomycota; Dothideomycetes; Botryosphaeriales; Botryosphaeriaceae.
GCGUUGGUGGUUUAGUGGUAAAAUUCAUCGUUGCCAGCAGUUGCAGUUCCUCAAGGAGAUGGCCCUCAGGGGCCCUCCAGGGAACGCAACACCAGGAUCGAUGAGCCCCGGGUUCGAUUCCCGGCCGACGCA